Molecule: ribosomal RNA, 500 nt
Filed under: uncultured bacterium
Lineage: Bacteria
Description: partial 16S ribosomal RNA
Rfam family: Bacterial small subunit ribosomal RNA
Source: RNAcentral
AUUGAACGCUGGCGGCAUGCCUUACACAUGCAAGUCGAACGGCAGCACGGGAGCAAUCCUGGUGGCGAGUGGCGAACGGGUGAGUAAUGUAUCGGAACGUGCCUAGUUGUGGGGGAUAACGUAGAGAAAUUUACGCUAAUACCGCAUACGAUCUAGGGACGAAAGCGGGGGAUCGCAAGACCUCGCGCAGUUCGAGCGGCAGAUAGCAGAUUAGGUUGUUGGUGGGGUAAAAGCUCACCAAGCCGACGAUCUGUAGCUGGUUUGAGAGAACGACCAGACACACUGGGACUGAGACACGGCCCAGACUCCUACGGGAGGCAGCAGUGGGGAAUUUUGGACAAUGGGGGCAACCCUGAUCCAGCAAUGCCGCGUGCAGGAAGAAGGCCUUCGGGUUGUAAACUGCUUUUGUACGGAACGAAACGGUCCUUUCUAAUACAGAGGGCUAAUGACGGUACCGUAAGAAUAAGCACCGGCUAACUACGUGCCAGCCGCCGCCGUAA